This is a long non-coding RNA of Oreochromis niloticus (Nile tilapia), 2568 nucleotides long. RefSeq annotates it as hemicentin-2. The record is from RefSeq and is a predicted model, not a curated record. NCBI's taxonomy places the organism in Eukaryota, Metazoa, Chordata, Actinopteri, Cichliformes, Cichlidae. The transcript has 8 exons.
CAGCAUCAGUCAGAGUGUUAUGUAAUGACCGUGGAUAAACUCCAUGGCGGGAUUCAUGUGGGGAAGUGUGGGAUGGUCAAUUAGGAAAGCACAGAAUUCCUUGAGUGUGUAGGUUGUGGAACAUGCACGUCUUGCAUAAAUGUAUCACUUUAACCAGUUAAGGGAUUUAGGAUGAAGCACAGUCUCCUGGCUAGUCUCUGUGUGGUUUAGGGUGAUGUCCCUUUAAGAUUUAUAAGGAUCUGGGAGUGGCGUGGAUAGGAAACCUAUUUUUAUCCCAUAUUUCCUUCCUUGUGUUAAUUAACCAGACCCAGACUAACGAAUUACAGCCCAAAUUAACAGUUUGAGCAUUCCGAUUCAGUAUACAUGCACAAAAAAGAAAAGGUGAAGCAGAGAAGUAUUUACAUUUGUGCUCGGAUAAUACUCACCAUGGCUGGCCUUUGAGCUUUUGAGAUAACUUUGGAAAAGUAUUUGGAAUAAUCUGACAGUUUAACCAACAAGCUGAAUAUUUGAUUUGGGCAGAGAUCACUGGCUGAGGACCUUCAGUGAUAAAUUUCACUCCUGUGCUUCACGACAUCUAAUGCAAAUCCUGAAACUGAACUUUCUCUGGACGUUCCUGAAUGACACCUUAUCUCCUCCAUUCACCUCCAUCAUCCUGCAUGCUGCCUGUCACGAUGCUGGGCUUCCUCAUGCUCAUCUUUUCACUGUGUGGAGCUACAGUAGCAUUACUUACCUGCAACUGACAUGAAAACAAUGAAAGGAUCAUCACACAGCCCUUCAAUGACACAACCAAAACACCAGUAAAUAAGUCCUCUAUUCUGAGAGUCAACAUCACCAGAGAGAAAAAUGUAGUUGAGUUCAGAUGUGACGCUCAGCUGGAAUUUGGACUGCGUGGACCAAAACUUCAUGCCGUUUCUCAAACACACAGUGUUUCAGACCACUAUGCUCUAGAACUAAAGACAAAAAACAGUACUCAUGUCAUGUCUUCAAGUGAGGGCACUAAUAUUAUGUUGACCUGUGAAGCUGUGGGAAACCCUCAUCCUGUCUAUAACUGGACUUGUGAUGGGGAAAAUAUGUUGGAGAACACAAACAGUCUCAAUAUCACCCUAGUAAAACACAACACAACCUGCACCUGCACAGCUACCAGUUAUCUAGGAAACAUAACUAAGACAUUCCAUGUUCAUGCUGAACCAAGAGGUUGCCCUUUAACACUGACAGCUUCUGAAAUUGUUGUGAAAUUUGGAGAUCCAAUUUCAAUCAACUGCAGCACAUCAGCCACAGAUGUCGAAGGAAUGGGCUGGGAGGCUCCAUUUGGAGGAACAGGAUUUGAACGUCCUCCUGUUGUCACUUGGAGGGUUGACCAAGUGGAAGAGUGGACUCCAAGCCCUUCCUGCUAUGCUACUUUGGUUGAUGGAUCCCAGUGUACUGUGAGUCCACUCAUCACUGUUUAUAAAACUCCAGACUUUGUGUCAGUGUCUGACAUGGAUCAUGGUCCGAUGGUGGAGGGCAGAGAGUACGAUCUGAAAUGUGAUGUCAUCAGUGUGGCUCCUGUACAGAAUCUCACAGUGACGUGGUACAGAGGCAAUGAAACUGUGCAAACAGAGACAUUUAAUCACUUCAAUAUGACUCCAGUAAACACAUCUUCUACUCUGAGAAUCUCCCCUAAGAGAGAUUACAGUGGAUUAACUUUUAGAUGUGAGGCUGAGCUGCACCUCGGACCCAAAGGACCACAGUUCCUCCCUAAUAUAUGUUCACCACCUUACACUGCUGUUGUUCUCUAUGCCCCUGAAUUCAAGGAAGGAAAUGAAAGCAAGGAGGUGCUCCAGGGUGAGGAUGUUACUUUAAGCUGUAGUGCUGACAGUAACCCGCCCUCAAACAUCAGAUGGAUCUACACAGCUGCUGUAAAUUCAAACGUGACCACUGAGGGACAACAGAAGAUUAUCAGUAUCACAGGAGUCACGUCUGCCAAUGCAGGCAUUUACAUUUGUGUUGCAGAGAAUGAAGCUGGGAGAAAUACACGAUUCAUCUCACUGGUGAUUAAAGAUAAAGUCCCUUUGCUAGUCAUUGGAGUGUUGCUCGCUGUAUUUGCCAUUGGCCUCAUCGUCCUCCUGGUCUUUAUUUACUAUAGAAACAGGCAUUUUUUUCUUGACACAGUAUCACAUGCCACAGAUGUCCCUCUUACACCAGCCAGUAGUAAUGCUUAGGAUAUUUCCUGCAUUAUGAAAAAUGAAGUAAAAUUUUAAUUGCAUAUGUAAUUUAUGAUUUUUCCUACAAGUCAAUCAAUAAUAUUGUAUAAAUGUACAUUUAAUUUUUCCAUAAAUUAAUUCCUUGAAUUAAACAACUUCAUAUACCAGAAAACAAAUAGCAGAAAUAUCUAAAAUAAUAGGAAGGUUAUGCUUCAGCGAUAAUAAUGUUAUGUACAUGUCUGCUAAACAGUGCACGAAACUGCUGUAAAAACAAUUAACAUUAAGCAAUAUUAUGUCUUAUGUUUGAAUUAAUUUUUUUUAUUGUUUUUAUGUUUUUUGACUCACAGUUCAUUUUAAUUGUGAAAUAUUAAAAGCACAAAGUGUA